RNAcentral lists this long non-coding RNA (5256 nucleotides) under Homo sapiens (human). RNAcentral describes it as "HSALNT0066907". The record is from RNAcentral. Lineage: Eukaryota; Metazoa; Chordata; Mammalia; Primates; Hominidae.
CUUUACAACUCUCUGUGCUUCCAAAAUGUGGCCUUACCAGUUACAAAGACAUGACUAUCAAAAGCAAGCAGGUCUUUCCAGCCAUCUGCUCGGCAGGAAGGAGGACGGCUUGAUUAAGAUUGCACAUCCACUUCAGCUGGUGGCUUAAUCAGCCCCAAACCUAAAAGAGCUUUCACAGCUCCUUCUGCUCUUCCCCAAACCCCUCCUGUGGGGUCACCUGGUGAUGGUCUGGCUGGGCUCAGCUUGUGGACUAGGAUAUCACAGGACACAUGGAGUAACCACGAUUCAAUUGGGUUCUGGAGAUGGGUACCAGUCCUGCCAUCAGUCAGAGAUCUGUGGACUGCGCCAGCCCAGACAAGUCCAAGAGGAGGAUUCCAGGCAGUUAAGAUGGUUUCCGGAGAAGCCUGGAAUUUCCCCGUAAGCACAAGCUCGGCAGAAAAAGGCAGGGUCCCUCGGCAGCCAGGGCAGGGGCUGAGUCAGUCCCAAGUCUCCCUGGCAAAUGGAUCACCCCUUAGGGUGGGAAGAGCCCCCCAGCUGUGUGGGGAACCUGGCUAGAGGUUGCUGAACCUCUGCUUUCAAGGAGUCUUGUGACCCCGGGAGCAUAGAACAAUCGCGGAGGCGCUUACAUCCAAAAUCCAUUUUCCUUCAAAAAAGUGUCCAGGUGGAGGUAAAGAAAGAGGACCCUGUAUACUUUGGUAAAUCUGUGAUUUAGCUACAAUGUAACUGGGCCUUGGGAACCCAGGGUGAGGUUUCUUAUGUGACAUCUCCUGGAAAAGCUCCGCUCAAUUCCUGAAAAAUCCCUUAUCAGACACCGACAGGAAACAGGGAUUUCCAGGGAAAUGGAUGUGGAAGGCACCUGAAGGCCAUUCCAAAACUCCAAAGUUUUUAUUUAUUUUACUAACUUAGGUGACUUAGACAUACAACUUCCUGCAAACAGUGCAUUCAGCUUUGUGUUCCUAAGCAAAUAAAUGGAACAGAGGCCACCAAAACUAGGCCCGCUGGAAAGGGCAGAGCAGAUGCCCUUACACCCAUAGCCCCUGGGGGUCAUGCCUGUGAGUUCUUGCAUAUCAGCUUGUGACAGCGUUGUGACCUGCCCCUUUGUCACCUUGCCACCACAUCACCCCCCAGGGGUCUGGGCAUUUCCUCGAAGCUGCUUCCAGGACAGGAUCAGGAACGUGUUACUUGGGUGGGGGGCUGGGAGGGAGGCAAGGAGCUCUGGUUCUGCCCAUGUCCUCCAGCCUCGAGUGUGCAACUGCUCUUCUGGGAACUUGGGUCUCCUCAUCUGAAACACAGGGAAUUAGAGAAGAUGAUUUUGUAACGCUCGAAGGCUCUGUAAUCCCCAAAAACAUGCUCUAAAGGGAUCUCCAGUCCAGCAUAUCAACCCAAACAAAAGACAACGCUGUGGUUACUUGUUCAAAUGCCUCUUUCUUCUUGUAAACAGUGCACUCCCAAUGACAGAGGCCCUCUGCUACUCAUCAUCUAGGUAGCUGACAGGUGGCUGCCUGCGGUACCUGAUGUUUGGACAGACAAACAAAUGACCAGGUGACACCCAAGUGCGAUUCUCUCUGAUCGCCAUCCUGUAGCCUGUCUCCUUAGCUGGGCUCCAAGCUCUUUGGGGAGCGAGGAACAGAUCUGUUCUACAUAGAAUCUCCAAUCAGAGCUGACGGUGGCUCAGGAAGCACCAGGGUGCCCAGGCUAGUUGUUGAAAUAUUGAAGUACUUCUGUGCAGUUGCUGAGCCUGAGAGAGCCUCUCUCCCCUCCCCCGCCACCAAGCCCAACAUCUAUCCGAAGGUUUCCUCUCCACCAUCCAGCCACUGAAGGGUGGUGACUGAUGUAGCAGGGCUGUAGGCCUCUGCUCCAGGACUGUAUAUGCCUGGUGCCAUUCUGAUUGGCCAGCGCCCUUGCCAUACUGUCGUUAAAUGUUGAGUGGUAGACCAGCCCAAUGCAGGUGAUGGGGAGGGAGAGCAGAUGACUGGUAGGUGCCACCUGUCACCUGAGAAUAGAUAUAUGUAGGCCCUGCUUUCCCAAUGGACUGAGAAUGUUCCCAGCAAAGAAGUGGGCAGUGUGUGCUGCCUGACCCCAAGAAGACACAUGCCCAGAUCCCUAGCUGGACAGAACGAGGACCUCCAAGCACACCUGCAGGCAAAGGAAUGGGCUGAGUCUCAGCCCCCCGGACUUACGAGCCAGGCGGCCCCACCUGUCUAAACUUGCGUUUCCUCUUCUGUACACAGGAGACAGUUAAACCUACCUUCCAGUUUGCGUGAGGACUUGUGUCUAACACGGGCUCUGAUCUGUACCCACAGGUGGAGAGCGUGGAGGCGCAAAGGUUCUACUGGCUCUUCCCAGGCGCCCCCACACAAACUGGACUCCAAUCCAGGAGGAAGCACGGAGGCGGCCUAACCUGGGCCCUCCUCCAUCCACGGAGCUGAGGGCCCAGAGAGGGAGGGCAACUCGCCCUCCACCACACCCCGCACAGCAGCUCCCUCCUUCCCCAGGGCCCAGCCCUGACACCUCCUGUCCCUGCCGGAGCCCUGCACCUGAGGACCCAGAGCCACGCGGGACCUUCUUUCACAGCCAGGAGGCGUCGGGGAGCUUCCCAGGCUGACUCUGCUUCCCGUGCUUUCCCCACCGCCCCCGCCAGAAACUGGGGCCCAAAUGGCAGCAUCCCCACCCCACGGCGCCCCAGCGCUGCAAAGCGCAGCCCUUCCGUAAACGGCCUGGGGAAAUGAAGUUGGUGGACUCUGCCUGUCCUCGUCCGGUGUCACCUCCUGCCGGCCUCCUCAUUCUGCCAGGGCUUCUGGCUCCUCACCCGGGCACAGAGGCCCCUUCAGCAGCAGGGAUGGGGGCAUUCGGAGAAGGACUGGGGCCGGCUGAUCCUGGCCUGACAGAGGCCUCCUCACCCACUGGCACCAGCCCUGCCCUGAAGACGUGGUCGUAGCAUCGAUGCAAUCGGGGGGGAGCGUGGUGGGUGGGGCACAGCCUGAAGGAGGAGGUCGAGCAAACACGUGGCCUCAGCUGGGACGCAGCACUGUCUGCAGAGCCCCUCGAAUCCAGCUCCACAUCUGGUUCUCGGGGGCGCAGGGCUGCCCGUGCAGGAUUAUCGACCCUGUUUUCAGGGAACAGGAAACUGAGGCCAAGCGAGGGGUCCUGAGCCGCCCAAGGUCAGAGAGGUGGUGAGGGGGAGAGAUGCAACAGGGGGGUCCCCAGAGUAAGGGCGGGCAGGGCGGAUGCCUGUGCUGAGAUGUGGCGCCGAGGCCUUACGAGCACCCACUGAAGGUCUGUUCAGUCACCCCAAGAAUGUCUGGAGCCCGAGUAUCAUCUGGCAGCCACCCUGGAGAAGGAACCAAGAACGCGGGGGGAGUCGGAAAGGGGGGCCCACCGAGGGGAGAAAGGGGUCGGCGCCGCUGUUCGGGCUGGUUGCUUUCUGGGCUCCUGAGCCCGGUGCUGUCCCACCCUCCGGGAAAGUCUAAAGCAAGAGGUGCCACCGCCCUCCGUGUCCUGCAGGCUGAGGAGCAGUGACGCUAUUCAGCAAGAUGAGAAACACGGGCAGGAGGUAAGAACUGAGAUCUCCUUCCUGUCGGCAUCUGACGGGAGGAGGCAUGUGAAUCCCAGGAGAAAACAAAACCUAGAAAGCGGCUGAGCCAGGAGACCCCUGGGCGGUGGGCUUAGCAAGGGGCAGGGGUUACCCACAGUCCUCCCUAGCACCUCGUCCCCAUCCUCUGCCUUCACACCUGGGACUCUCUUCCAUGCUGGGGGAAACCUUCAGAUGAAUUGAUUCUCGCUGAGGUUGUGCAGACCGAUAUUAAGCCGAGCACAUAGAUACUCAGAAUAAAGACUGCAUUUCCCAGCAUCUCUUGCAGCAGAUAUGGCCACAUGUCUAGGAUCUAGUCAACAGGUAAAUGCAACAUUAGGGACUUUUCUUACAGGAAGUGGUCAUACCCUUUCCUUCCUUCCUGGUGGCUGGAAUACAGGCGUAAUGGCUGGAACUGAAACAGCCAUUUUUGAUCAUGAAGUAAUCUUGGGAAUUAAGCCAAGUUUAGAGAAGAAACAAGACAGAAGCAUACUGUGUGUCCCUGACCCCACGGAGCUGCCACACUGGCCUAGCCCACCGACAUUUUGAAAGUUUUAUGGAAAAAAAAUAGCUUUAUAGUUUAAGUUGUUUGUUAUUUGGGACAAAGUCAAUAUGAAAUAACACACCUUUUUUUUGUUGUUUGAAGUAAACUUUUGUUAGUUUUUUAAAUAAUUUUUAUUUGUAUUUCAAUAGUUUGGGGGGGUAAAGGUGGUUUUGGGUUACAUGGGUAAGUUCUUUAGUGGUGAUUUCUGAGAUUCUGGUGCACCCAUCACCCAAGCAGUGUACACUGUACCCAAUAUAUAGUCUUUUAUCCCUCAUCCCCUCUCAACCUUCCCCUACCCCAGCCCCAGAGUCGAUUUUAUCAUUCUUAUGCCUUUGCAUCCUCACUGCUUAGCUCCCGCUUAUAAGUGAGAACAUAUGAUGUUUGGUUUUCCUGAAUCACUUCACUUAGAAUAAUGGUCUUCAACUCCAUCCAGGCUGCUGUGAAUGCCAUUAUUUCAUUCCUUUUUAUGGCUGUGUAGUAUUCCAUGGUGUAUAAAUACCUUAUCCACUCAUUGGUUGAUGGGCACUUAGGUUGGUUCCAUAUCUUUGCAGUUGUGAAUUGUGCUGCUCCAAAUGUGUGUGCAUGUGUCUUUUUCAUAUAAUGACUUCUUUUCCUCUGGAUAGAUACCCAGUAGUGGGAUUGCUGGAUUUAAUGAUCGUUCUACUUUUAGUUCUUUAAGUAAUCUCCAUCUGUUUUCCAUAGUGGUUGUACUAGUUUACUUUCCCACCAGCUGUGUGAAAGUGCUCCCUUUUCACCGCAUCCAUGCCAACAUCUGUUGUUUUUUGAUUUUUAAUUAUGGCCAUUCUUGCAGGAGUAAGGUGAUAUCUCAAAGUGGUUGAAAUUUGCAUUUCCCUGAUGAUGAUUAGUGAUGUUGAGCAUUUUUUCAUAUGAUGGAGGCUGUUUGUAUAUCUUCUUUUGAGAAUCGUCUAUUCAUGUCCUUUGUCCCCUUUUGCAUGGGAUUGUUUGUUUGUUUUUUUCUCGCCGAUUUGUUUGAGUUCCUUGUAGAUCCUGGAUAUUACCUUUGUCGGAUGCAUAGUUUGCAAGCAUUUUCUCCUCCUCUGGGGUUGUCUGUUUACUGUGCUGAUUAUUUAUCUUGCUGUGCAGAAGCUUUUUAGUUUAAUUAGAUCCCAUUUAUUUAUUU